Non-coding RNA from Salmo salar (Atlantic salmon), 55 nucleotides. NCBI's taxonomy places the organism in Eukaryota, Metazoa, Chordata, Actinopteri, Salmoniformes, Salmonidae. The record is from Rfam.
UGUUAUCAUUAAAAGUAAGUCGCUCUGGAUAAGAGCGUCUGCUAAAUGACUAAAA